GUUGGUGGCUAUAGCGUGGAGGUUCACCUCUUCCCAUUCCGAACAGAGAAGUUAAGCUCCACAGCGCCGAUGGUACUGCCUCACCAGGUGGGAGAGUAGGUCGCCGCCAACU
This 112-nucleotide ribosomal RNA is filed under the name Bacteroidota bacterium. The record is from RNAcentral. Lineage: Bacteria; Pseudomonadati; Bacteroidota.